RNAcentral lists this long non-coding RNA (754 nucleotides) under Castor canadensis (American beaver). Lineage: Eukaryota; Metazoa; Chordata; Mammalia; Rodentia; Castoridae. The record is from RNAcentral.
AUGAUGAAAGGGAGAAAACAGAUGAAUUGCAUCAGGACCUGUUAUAUUUUUCAAGUAAGUAUUAGUAAAUGGAGACUGGAGCCUGCAAAUGUCAUUUUUUUUGUCAUUGAAGUGGCAUGCGUAUUAAGAUUUAAUAGCUUAACAUUUGUUUGGCUAAUGAGUGCAAACUUAAGCCAUUUUGAGCAUGCUCUGGACGGGGUUUUUGUAAUGAUGUUGGUCAAAUGUCUGACCUGAAAUGAGCAUGUGGACACAUUUAGCGCUGAAUAACCCUGUGACAAACAACUCUGAGGGGAAUUUAAUGGCAUUUUAUGUUCUAAUAAGAGUGGUUUUUUUGUUCCAGCUACGGGGUGCAUAUUUUAGUCUGGACAGCUGUUUGGGUAAGUAUAGGAAGACAGGAGUUUGUCUUCUGACAUUAUACCUUUUGUAUUUCUGAAGUGGGACCUGUUAGUAGGAAUUAAGAAUUGUUAAGUGAAUAAUUGUUAGAGAAUAAUUAAUAAUUUUUUUGUUGAGUCUUAUUUCUGUACUCAGUAAAGGCAGUUGCAUUAAACAUUUUAUAGGUGAAUGCUAUGUUCAAUCUUACAUUGCUCAAACUAGAAAACUGUCUAAAGAUUCAAUAACUUUUUCAGGUCCAGAUUGAGGAUACCUUUUUAAAAAAGGUAAUUUGAUUUACUCAUUUUGAUGUGUUGACAAGCAAGAUGCUGUUGGUGAUGACUUUUAAAAUAAAACAGAUGGGAAUCUCUCUGAAAAAAUGUGA